UAACAAUUCUUUUCUUUUUAGUUUUACUUACAGUUUCGGUUUGAAAGUCGGAACGCCCCAUCGCUAGUGACACCAGUAGGUAUUUGUUUUUCUGGGAGCACAUGUGUGGGAUGUGAGCAGGAGGAUGUGAAAAUGUGAUAUUUUCCUCAAGUUUACCAACAUUUGACAUUUCUUGUUUUAAUCAAUGUGCCCAAGAAAAGCCUGGGGGAACCGCAACAAGCUGGGGUUUACCACCAACUCCGUCCCGUGGCAGCUGUGAAUUUCAAGCAAGAAGAAUGAAGCUCAGAUUACAGUGUCUGCAGACCAUCCGGAGAACAACUGUUUUCCAAGAGCAUAUUUGCAUAAUAAAAUGUGAAAUCAUACA
Molecule: long non-coding RNA, 364 nt
Organism: Ixodes scapularis (black-legged tick)
Lineage: Eukaryota; Metazoa; Arthropoda; Arachnida; Ixodida; Ixodidae
Exons: 2
Source: RefSeq, a predicted model, not a curated record